Molecule: long non-coding RNA, 697 nt
Organism: Marmota monax (woodchuck)
Lineage: Eukaryota; Metazoa; Chordata; Mammalia; Rodentia; Sciuridae
Exons: 3
Source: RefSeq, a predicted model, not a curated record
CUGUGGAUGUGGCUCAGUGGUGAAUGCUGGCCUUGCUUGCCGAAAGGACCUGAGUUUAAUUGCUGAUGCCCUCAAAUAAGCAGAAGUCAUUCCCGCUCUCCUUCCAGCUGAGGAUCAGCAGGUUGCCAGGGAUCCCUGAGGCCACAAGAGAAACAAGGGCACAUCUUCCAAGAGAUCCACUGAAAGUUGCAAAUUGAACUGAUGGUGGUAGGAGGCUUCUAAAGAAGUUCAGGGAGAUUAUCAGAGUCGUGUGACCCUUGGCAAGUUACUUAGCCUCUCCGAGCCUAGCUGACCUCAUUUGCAGACACUAAAGGUAACAUUGUAAGACUUUUGAGAUUUAAUCGGGGUAUUACAUGUUAAGUGCUCAGAAUGAUGCUCAAUACAUGUUAGUACUAUAUAGAGGUAUUAUUAUUAUUAUUAAUGUUAUUAUCUUUAUUAUUCAAGGUCCAGUUUCCAGGUAACAACUUCUGCCUCUAUCACAUCUGCUUACACUUAGCACCUUAUUUUACUUGCCUUCUCUUCCCCAUUAGGUAAUGUUCUGGAUAGAGGGGACCCUGUAUUAUAUAUCUUUAUGUCCCUUGUGUUCGACACAUACUAGAUAAUCAAUGGAUGUUGAAUAGAUGCAAAUAAAUGAGAUAAUUAUAAUAAUUACCAUUAUUAUAAUAACAUCUAUCCUCAUUUCUAGGUAUUAUCCCUU